AGAGUUUGAUCAUGGCUCAGAUUGAACGCUGGCGGCAGGCCUAACACAUGCAAGUCGAACGGUAACAGGAAACAGCUUGCUGUUUCGCUGACGAGUGGCGGACGGGUGAGUAAUGUCUGGGAAACUGCCUGAUGGAGGGGGAUAACUACUGGAAACGGUAGCUAAUACCGCAUAACGUCGCAAGACCAAAGAGGGGGACCUUCGGGCCUCUUGCCAUCAGAUGUGCCCAGAUGGGAUUAGCUAGUAGGUGGGGUAACGGCUCACCUAGGCGACGAUCCCUAGCUGGUCUGAGAGGAUGACCAGCCACACUGGAACUGAGACACGGUCCAGACUCCUACGGGAGGCAGCAGUGGGGAAUAUUGCACAAUGGGCGCAAGCCUGAUGCAGCCAUGCCGCGUGUAUGAAGAAGGCCUUCGGGUUGUAAAGUACUUUCAGCGGGGAGGAAGGGAGUAAAGUUAAUACCUUUGCUCAUUGACGUUACCCGCAGAAGAAGCACCGGCUAACUCCGUGCCAGCAGCCGCGGUAAUACGGAGGGUGCAAGCGUUAAUCGGAAUUACUGGGCGUAAAGCGCACGCAGGCGGUUUGUUAAGUCGGAUGUGAAAUCCCCGGGCUCAACCUGGGAACUGCAUCUGAUACUGGCAAGCUUGAGUCUCGUAGAGGGGGGUAGAAUUCCAGGUGUAGCGGUGAAAUGCGUAGAGGUCUGGAGGAAUACCGGUGGCGAAGGCGGCCCCCUGGACGAAGACUGACGCUCAGGUGCGAAAGCGUGGGGAGCAAACAGGAUUAGAUACCCUGGUAGUCCACGCCGUAAACGAUGUCGACUUGGAGGUUGUGCCCUUGAGGCGUGGCUUCCGGAGCUAACGCGUUAAGUCGACCGCCUGGGGAGUACGGCCGCAAGGUUAAAACUCAAAUGAAUUGACGGGGGCCCGCACAAGCGGUGGAGCAUGUGGUUUAAUUCGAUGCAACGCGAAGAACCUUACCUGGUCUUGACAUCCACGGAAGUUUUCAGAGAUGAGAAUGUGCCUUCGGGAACCGUGAGACAGGUGCUGCAUGGCUGUCGUCAGCUCGUGUUGUGAAAUGUUGGGUUAAGUCCCGCAACGAGCGCAACCCUUAUCCUUUGUUGCCAGCGGUCCGGCCGGGAACUCAAAGGAGACUGCCAGUGAUAAACUGGAGGAAGGUGGGGAUGACGUCAAGUCAUCAUGGCCCUUACGACCAGGGCUACACACGUGCUACAAUGGCGCAUACAAAGAGAAGCGACCUCGCGAGAGCAAGCGGACCUCAUAAAGUGCGUCGUAGUCCGGAUUGGAGUCUGCAACUCGACUCCAUGAAGUCGGAAUCGCUAGUAAUCGUGGAUCAGAAUGCCACGGUGAAUACGUUCCCGGGCCUUGUACACACCGCCCGUCACACCAUGGGAGUGGGUUGCAAAAGAAGUAGGUAGCUUAACCUUCGGGAGGGCGCUUACCACUUUGUGAUUCAUGACUGGGGUGAAGUCGUAACAAGGUAACCGUAGGGGAACCUGCGGUUG
Molecule: ribosomal RNA, 1522 nt
Filed under: metagenome
Description: bacterial SSU rRNA
Rfam family: Bacterial small subunit ribosomal RNA
Source: RNAcentral